CCAAGAGUAGGACUAGGAGUAGAGCCAGAGAGUAGAACUAAGAGUAGGGCCAAGAGGUAGAACUAAGAGUAGGGCCAGGAGUAGAACUAAGAGUAGAGCCAAGAGCAGGGCCAGGAGUAGAGCCAAGAGUAGAACUAAGAGCAAGACCAGAAGUGGGGGCCAGGACUAUGUAGAGCCAGGAGUAGAAAUAAGAGUAGAACCAAGAGUAGAACUAAGAGCCAAGAGUAGGGCCGGUAGUAGAACUAAGAGUAGGGCCAGGAGUAGAACUAAGAGCCAAGAGUAGGACUAAGAGUAGAGUCAGGAGUAGAACUAAGAGCCAAGAGUAGAACUAGGAGUAGAGUCAGGAGUAGAACUAGGAGUAGGGCCAGGAGUAGAACUAAGAGUAGGGCCGCAAGGGAGUAAGAACUAAGAGUAGAGCCGGAGUAGAACUAAGAGUAGAGCCAAGAGCAGGGCCAGGAGUAAGAGCGCAAGCAAGUAGAACUAAAGAGGCAGGACCAGGAGUGGGGGGCCAG
This 512-nucleotide long non-coding RNA is filed under the name Coturnix japonica (Japanese quail). Its description in RNAcentral is "lncRNA (ENSCJPG00005002221.1)". The record is from RNAcentral. Lineage: Eukaryota; Metazoa; Chordata; Aves; Galliformes; Phasianidae.